This 1261-nucleotide ribosomal RNA is filed under the name Pseudomonas sp. AU994. RNAcentral's name for it is "partial 16S ribosomal RNA". It matches the Rfam family "Bacterial small subunit ribosomal RNA", at positions 67 to 1436 of the family's 1533-position model. The record is from RNAcentral. Lineage: Bacteria; Pseudomonadati; Pseudomonadota; Gammaproteobacteria; Pseudomonadales; Pseudomonadaceae.
CUUUCUUUCUCUUGAAGAGCGGCGGCACGGGUUGUAGAUAAUGCCGUAGGAAUCAUGCCCUGGGUAGAUGGGGGAUAACGCCUCGGAAACGGACGCUAAUACCGCAUACGUCCUACGGGAGAAAGCAGGGGACCUUCGGGCCUUGCGCUAUCAGAUGAGCCUAGGUCGGAUUAGCUAGUUGGUGAGGUAUGGCUCACCAAGGCGACGAUCCGUAACUGGUCUGAGAGGAUGAUCAGUCACACUGGAACUGAGACACGGUCCAGACUCCUACGGGAGGCAGCAGUGGGGAAUAUUGGACAAUGGGCGAAAGCCUGAUCCAGCCAUGCCGCGUGUGUGAAGAAGGUCUUCGGAUUGUAAAGCACUUUAAGUUGGGAGGAAGGGCAGUUACCUAAUACGUAUCUGUUUUGACGUUACCGACAGAAUAAGCACCGGCUAACUCUGUGCCAGCAGCCGCGGUAAUACAGAGGGUGCAAGCGUUAAUCGGAAUUACUGGGCGUAAAGCGCGCGUAGGUGGUUUGUUAAGUUGGAUGUGAAAUCCCCGGGCUCAACCUGGGAACUGCAUUCAAAACUGACAAGCUAGAGUAUGGUAGAGGGUGGUGGAAUUUCCUGUGUAGCGGUGAAAUGCGUAGAUAUAGGAAGGAACACCAGUGGCGAAGGCGACCACCUGGCGCAGUCUAACGCAUUAAGUUGACCGCCUGGGGAGUACGGCCGCAAGGUUAAAACUCAAAUGAAUUGACGGGGGCCCGCACAAGCGGUGGAGCAUGUGGUUUAAUUCGAAGCAACGCGAAGAACCUUACCAGGCCUUGACAUCCAAUGAACUUUCCAGAGAUGGAUUGGUGCCUUCGGGAACAUUGAGACAGGUGCUGCAUGGCUGUCGUCAGCUCGUGUCGUGAGAUGUUGGGUUAAGUCCCGUAACGAGCGCAACCCUUGUCCUUAGUUACCAGCACGUCAUGGUGGGCACUCUAAGGAGACUGCCGGUGACAAACCGGAGGAAGGUGGGGAUGACGUCAAGUCAUCAUGGCCCUUACGGCCUGGGCUACACACGUGCUACAAUGGUCGGUACAGAGGGUUGCCAAGCCGCGAGGUGGAGCUAAUCCCAGAAAACCGAUCGUAGUCCGGAUCGCAGUCUGCAACUCGACUGCGUGAAGUCGGAAUCGCUAGUAAUCGCGAAUCAGAAUGUCGCGGUGAAUACCGUUCCCGGGCCUUGUAUCACACCGCCCGUCACCACCAUGGGACGUGGGUUGCACCCAGAACGUAGCUU